CCUACGGGUGGCAGCAGUCGAGAAUCAUGCACAAUGGGGGAAACCCUGAUGGGGCGACGCCGCGUGGGGGAAUGAAGGUCUGCGGAUUGUAAACCCCUGUCAUGUGGGAGCAAAUUAAAAAGAUAGUACCACAAGAGGAAGAGACGGCUAAAUCGGUGCCAGCAGCCGCGGUAAUACAGAGGUCUUAAGCGUUGUUCGGAAUCACUGGGCGUAAAGUGUGCGUAGGCUGUUUCGUAAGUCGUGUGUGAAAGGCGCGGGCUCAACCCGCGGACGGCACAUGAUACUGGGAGACUAGAGUACUGGUGGGGGAGGCGGAAUUCGCGGUGUAGCAGUGAAAUGCGUAGAUAUCGAGAGGAACACUCGUGGCGAAGGCGGGUUCCUGGACAUUAACUGACGCUGAGGCACGAAGGCCAGGGGAGCGAAAAGGAUUAGAUACCCCAGUAGUC
RNAcentral lists this ribosomal RNA (446 nucleotides) under uncultured bacterium. RNAcentral describes it as "partial 16S ribosomal RNA". It matches the Rfam family "Bacterial small subunit ribosomal RNA", at positions 338 to 795 of the family's 1533-position model. The record is from RNAcentral.